UUUUUUUUUCAUUCGGAAGCAGAUAUUUUCGGAUCAAAGUCCCGAAACCAGUUUUGGUUUACAGAUUUUCGAAAAUUAUCCCUUGUCUAAAAAUUCGGAAUUUUCAAAAAUUUUCUCCAAAUCCAUGUAACGAGACAUCAAAAGAAACGACUCUUUAGACUUAAUUCAUAACAGAAAACCAAAA
Molecule: long non-coding RNA, 184 nt
Organism: Episyrphus balteatus (marmalade hoverfly)
Lineage: Eukaryota; Metazoa; Arthropoda; Insecta; Diptera; Syrphidae
Exons: 2
Source: RefSeq, a predicted model, not a curated record